GUCCGAUAUAGAAGCCCCCAAAUGCCAACUAAUCACCAAUAAUAACCAAAUAAAUCAUAAGCCCAUGAUGGGGACUGAAUCCGGCAGAAGAAGCUGUCAGAGCCAUAUAAACUAGCAGCUAGCUGGGAGCUGGGAAGUGCUGACAGGCUGAGCGAAGGAAUGGACGGGUGGUGGAGGGAAAAUCCAGUGAGGCAAGUCCCUGUCGAAGCACUAAAUUAUGACUAGAUCGGCGGCAGUAUCUGAACACCGUAACUGCAGAGCCAUGUAAAAUUUAUGCAGCAAGACUGAACUGAAAACGAAACGGAGCCGAAUGCACCGGGGUAAUCCUGUAGACAAGGGCGACAAGGAAAAGAUGAUGUCAUAAUAUAUUGUAAUUUAUGGGAGGAGUGCUGACAGUUGAAGCUCGCUUAAGCUCGAGAA
Molecule: long non-coding RNA, 420 nt
Organism: Drosophila mauritiana
Lineage: Eukaryota; Metazoa; Arthropoda; Insecta; Diptera; Drosophilidae
Exons: 3
Source: RefSeq, a predicted model, not a curated record